AGGACGAACGCUGGCGGCGUGCUUAACACAUGCAAGUCGAACGGUGACCCAGGGCUUGCCCUGGUGAUCAGUGGCGAACGGGUGAGUAACACGUGGGCAACCUGCCCCUGACUUCGGGAUAACUCCUCGAAAGAGGAGCUAAUACCGGAUACGACCACUUCGGACAUCCGAUGGUGGUGGAAAGUUUUUCGGUCAGGGAUGGGCCCGCGGCCUAUCAGCUAGUUGGUGGGGUAAUGGGCCUACCAAGGCGACGACGGGUAGCCGGCCUGAGAGGGCGACCGGCCACACUGGGACUGAGACACGGCCCAGACUCCUACGGGAGGCAGCAGUGGGGAAUAUUGCGCAAUGGGCGAAAGCCUGACGCAGCGACGCCGCGUGAGGGAUGAAGGCCUUCGGGUUGUAAACCUCUUUCAGCAGGGACGAAGCGAAAGUGACGGUACCUGCAGAAGAAGCACCGGCUAACUACGUG
Molecule: ribosomal RNA, 469 nt
Filed under: uncultured bacterium
Lineage: Bacteria
Description: bacterial SSU rRNA
Rfam family: Bacterial small subunit ribosomal RNA
Source: RNAcentral